Molecule: ribosomal RNA, 172 nt
Filed under: Salmonella enterica subsp. enterica serovar Typhimurium
Lineage: Bacteria; Pseudomonadati; Pseudomonadota; Gammaproteobacteria; Enterobacterales; Enterobacteriaceae
Also listed under: 1 other name
Description: partial 23S ribosomal RNA
Rfam family: Bacterial large subunit ribosomal RNA
Source: RNAcentral
CUGAAAGCAUCUAAGCACGAAACUUGCCCCGAGAUGAGUUCUCCCUGAGACUUAGAGUCUCCUGAAGGAACGUUGAAGACGACGACGUUGAUAGGCCGGGUGUGUAAGCGCAGCGAUGCGUUGAGCUAACCGGUACUAAUGAACCGUGAGGCUUAACCUUACAACGCCGAAG